This is an RNA transcript of Juglans regia (Persian walnut), 2991 nucleotides long. It is a transcript of the gene named type I inositol polyphosphate 5-phosphatase 2-like, with no coding region annotated. The record is from RefSeq and is a predicted model, not a curated record. Lineage: Eukaryota; Viridiplantae; Streptophyta; Magnoliopsida; Fagales; Juglandaceae. The transcript is spliced from 12 exons.
UGUUGGAGUUAUUCUGCUAGCUUGUGUUUUGACAUAUGAGUCCCUAAUUUUUUUUAUAAUGGGUUUUAUUAGAUUAUGUUUUGCUUUUCACUCUUCUGUCAAUGGCUGUCAUGCCCACCUCCUUACCGAAUGAAAUAGCCGCAGUGUCAUUAGUUUCAGUACUACAGAUUUGUUGUCAUGAAAAUGAAGUUUUAGCUUUUCAGCAAUUCUGGGUCGUUGUUGAAUUUUCAACAAUAUCACGCAUCUAUGUUUAUGUAUUAGAAAAUUGCAACAUGGGUGAAGGACCAUUAUGUAUUCUUUUUUUUCGCAAGUUGAGGUUGAAGAUGUCUGUUUGAUAUGUCCAUACCUUUUCUGUCCUUUCUAUUUGGUCGUGAUAUGGAUCUUCCUUUUAUUUGCCAUCAAAAUAAGCCUACCCUUAGGCUCUCUCAUCAGGUUAUGCUGAAAUACCUCUUAUUUAACUGGUGAUUACAACUUACAAGCUUGCUACUGUUUCUAUAUUCAAGGACCUGUCUGUUGAAAGUCCAAAAUAUUGGUGAUUCUGGCCUCUGGUGGGAAUUUAUCUUGAGACUAUGAGAACCAAUCGAGGGAAACGCUCUGAGGCCUUUUGGCCUUCCAUUGUGAUGAAGAAGUGGCUAAAUAUCAAGCCGAAGGUGUAUGAGUUCAGUGAAGAUGAGGUUGACACUGAAACUGAAAGUGAAGAUGAUGCUUGCUCUCUUAAAGAUGAAAGAAUGCACGUGCCUGAGGAUCGUGCCCAGAGGACACAGGGGAACCUUUUCACUCGGCCCAGUAAAACUUCAGGCAGUACUUUGAUUUCUAUGGGUACAUCUUCCACGGAUUAUCGGUUAAGGCACAGGAGAGGAAAAUCCGAAACUUUGCGUGCACAGUACAUUAAUACAAAGGAUGUGAGGGUGACAAUUGGUACUUGGAAUGUUGCUGGAAAACUUCCAAAUGAAGAUCUUGAGAUUGAUGACUGGCUUUGUACAGAAGAGCCAGGAGAUAUUUACAUUAUUGGUUUUCAAGAGGUAGUCCCUUUGAAUGCCGGGAAUGUUCUGGGAGCAGAGGAUAGCCGGCCUAUUCAAAAAUGGGAGGCAAUAAUUCGAAAAACUCUCAACAAAUCUUUGGAUCCUAAAAGCAAACACAAGAGUUAUAGUGCCCCACCCUCCCCAGUGCUAAGGACUUCUUCUGUUGCUGAUGUUCUUGCAUCUGAGAUUGAUGUUCAUCCAUUAGAGAUGAUGUGUGAGGAAUACACCAGGAAGAAAAAAUUUUAUGACAAGGAACAAGAGACACUGGAUAAAGGAACUGAUAUUGGAAUGCAUUCUCAAUUCAGGAGAAUAUAUGGCAUUGAUUUCACCAGUAGAUUAGACUGGCCUGAGCAUUCAUUAGAUGCAACCCCUCAGGUAGUCUCCUCCAAUUCAAAGUUGCGGAGAGUAUUUAGCAGUUCGGGAAGAAUUGGAUAUAACUUGACAGAGAAUUCUCUACUAGGGAGUCCACAAAGUUUUGCAUUAGAUGGUAGUAGAUUGAAACGAAUGCAUAAUAGCUCUGGUGAUCUAGGCUUGAUGUGGAUGGAGCAGCAAGAGAAGCCUGAAGUUCUCGAUUCUCUCUCUGAUGUUUCCAACACCUUUUCUGAUGAGGAAGAUGGUUUUUUUGAAUUACCAGAGGAGCAGCAUAAUUUUGAAGUAACCGAAAAUGGUGUGAAGUCAUGUCCUAGGUAUGUGCGAGUUGUCAGCAAGCAGAUGGUAGGGAUAUAUGUAUCAGUUUGGGUUCGAAAGAGGUUGAGAAGGCAUAUCAACAAUUUGGAAGUUUCUCUUGUUGGAGUCGGUCUAAUGGGCUACAUGGGAAACAAGGGCUCUGUUUCUGUUAGCAUGUCCCUGUUUCAAUCACGAAUGUGCUUUGUUUGUUCUCAUCUGACCUCUGGUCAGAAGGAUGGGGCUGAGCAGAGGCGUAAUUCUGAUGUCUAUGAAAUAAUACGACGUACCCGUUUCUCAUCUUUCUUUGAAACAAAUCAACCACAGACUAUUCCUUCUCAUGAUCAGAUAUUCUGGUUUGGGGAUUUGAACUAUCGUAUCAAUAUGUUGGAUACAGAAGUUAGGAAACUGGUUGCUCUUAGAAGGUGGGAUGAACUUCUCAAAAAUGAUCAGCUAAGCAAAGAACUCCGGAGUGGACAUGUAUUUGAUGGAUGGAAUGAGGGCGUGAUAGACUUUCCACCUACUUACAAGUAUGAAACCAACUCUGAUAGAUAUGUUGGUGAGAACCCAAAAGAAGGGGAGAAAAGAUCUCCGGCCUGGUGUGAUCGUGUGCUGUGGUUAGGAAAAGGUAUAAAACAACUGUCCUACAAAAGGGCUGAAUUAAGGCUCUCAGAUCAUCGACCAGUUCGUUCAAAUUUCUUGGUUGAAGUUGAAGUCCUAGACCAUCGGAAGCUGCAAAGGGCUAUCAAUUACAAUAGCGCAGCUGUACAUCCUGAAAUUUUCCCCGACGAAGAGAGUUAGAAUGAGAAAUCUUAGCAGAUACCAGAUUAUUUUAAAAGAUUACUCCAGAUAUAUGUGAAGACGGAACUUGAAUUAACUACCUUGGUUCCAUAUCUCUUGAUUUUCAGCCUCUGUUACAUUUUCCAUAAGGGAUUGCAAGUCAUUUUGGCAAGGUUGCAAGAUUGUUAUCUGGUGGAUGAUUGUUGGUUUCAAGAUAUACCCACCAACUAUCACUGUCUGACCAGUAGCUGUCAGACAGUGAUAGUUGGUUUCUAGAAGCGAUCCUCACUGUCAAGUACUGUUGCAGCCUGCAUCAGAAUUUAAGUUUGCCUUAGGUUAUACAAGCCAAUAAGUUAAUAGGACUAACAGGUAAAUGUAUAUAGUAAAGGCCUAUCCUUUUUUUUAAAGGCCUAUCCAUUUGUUUUUAUAGUUUUUGUUUUAGUCUUGUUUUGUUAAAUUUGUAGUUGAUUGGUUUGUGGAGCUGAUAUAAAUGCCAUUUGACAGUUUUUACUUAUAAUUGGAUCAA